RNAcentral lists this ribosomal RNA (405 nucleotides) under Triticum aestivum (bread wheat). RNAcentral's name for it is "partial small subunit ribosomal RNA". Lineage: Eukaryota; Viridiplantae; Streptophyta; Magnoliopsida; Poales; Poaceae. The record is from RNAcentral.
AUGAUGAAUAUAGCUGGAGGGAGCAUGGCUACAGGGCAAUAUGCAAAAGACUCAAGUGACCCUCUUGCUAUAGAAGUGGUUAAUCUUGAAGAAGAGACAACCAAGAAACCCACUGCCCCACAUGAAGAGGUUGCACAAUCAACCAAUGCAGGUUCAUCUGGUCCCAAACCAAAAAAGGCCAAACCAAAUCCUUGUGCGGAAGACAGGUUGCAUGCCACCAUACUUGCUUCUAGUGAAAGAAUUGCUAUUGCCAUAGAGAAGAGUUCUAGCACCGAGAACAAUGCCAUAGAUGGUCUUUGGGAGAGCAUGAAAGUACUUUCUGGGUUCAGUUUGGAGUACCUUGCUCAUUACUAUGCAUAUUUGGUUGACAAUCCUCGUGUUGUUAUGGCAUUCAAGGUGUUGUAA